GACGUGCUAAUCUGCGAUAAGCGUCGGUGAGGUGAUAUGAACCGUUAUAACCGGCGAUUUCCGAAUGGGGAAACCCAGUGUGUUUCGACACACUAUCAUUAACUGAAUCCAUAGGUUAAUGAGGCGAACCGGGGGAACUGAAACAUCUAAGUACCCCGAGGAAAAGAAAUCAACCGAGAUUCCCCCAGUAGCGGCGAGCGAACGGGGAGGAGCCCAGAGCCUGAAUCAGUGUGUGUGUUAGUGGAAGCGUCUGGAAAGGCGCGCGAUACAGGGUGACAGCCCCGUACACAAAAAUGCACAUAUUGUGAGCUCGAUGAGUAGGGCGGGACACGUGGUAUCCUGUCUGAAUAUGGGGGGACCAUCCUCCAAGGCUAAAUACUCCUGACUGACCGAUAGUGAACCAGUACCGUGAGGGAAAGGCGAAAAGAACCCCGGCGAGGGGAGUGAAAAAGAACCUGAAACCGUGUACGUACAAGCAGUGGGAGCCUCUUAAUGGGGUGACUGCGUACCUUUUGUAUAAUGGGUCAGCGACUUAUAUUCUGUAGCAAGGUUAACCGAAUAGGGGAGCCGAAGGGAAACCGAGUCUUAACUGGGCGUUAAGUUGCAGGGUAUAGACCCGAAACCCGGUGAUCUAGCCAUGGGCAGGUUGAAGGUUGGGUAACACUAACUGGAGGACCGAACCGACUAAUGUUGAAAAAUUAGCGGAUGACUUGUGGCUGGGGGUGAAAGGCCAAUCAAACCGGGAGAUAGCUGGUUCUCCCCGAAAGCUAUUUAGGUAGCGCCUCGUGAAUUCAUCUCCGGGGGUAGAGCACUGUUUCGGCAAGGGGGUCAUCCCGACUUACCAACCCGAUGCAAACUGCGAAUACCGGAGAAUGUUAUCACGGGAGACACACGGCGGGUGCUAACGUCCGUCGUGAAGAGGGAAACAACCCAGACCGCCAGCUAAGGUCCCAAAGUCAUGGUUAAGUGGGAAACGAUGUGGGAAGGCCCAGACAGCCAGGAUGUUGGCUUAGAAGCAGCCAUCAUUUAAAGAAAGCGUAAUAGCUCACUGGUCGAGUCGGCCUGCGCGGAAGAUGUAACGGGGCUAAACCAUGCACCGAAGCUGCGGCAGCGACACUAUGUGUUGUUGGGUAGGGGAGCG
Molecule: ribosomal RNA, 1141 nt
Filed under: Escherichia coli
Lineage: Bacteria; Pseudomonadati; Pseudomonadota; Gammaproteobacteria; Enterobacterales; Enterobacteriaceae
Also listed under: 1 other name
Description: partial 23S ribosomal RNA
Rfam family: Bacterial large subunit ribosomal RNA
Source: RNAcentral